AUGGUAGCCGCGCGCCUCCUCGCGCGGGCCACGAGGCAAUGCGCCGCCGCGGUGGUGGCGUCCGCUGCGAGGCGGCCGCUCGGCGGCGUGGCGGCGGUGGCCGCUCGCCCGCUCGCCUCUUCCUUCGGCCCCGCCAGGGUUCCAUAUAUGUUGAAUCAGCCAUUGAGAUACUCAAGCAACAUCUUUCAAAGGUUUGGCUUUUCAUCUUCUACCCCCCAACAAAAUGAUAAGGAGGUACACGAACCCAAAGACCAGGAAAGUACUGCACAUGAAUCAAAUGGUGAAGCUUCAAAGGAAGACAGUGGUUCGUCUGGAAGUACAGAAGAUCUUGAUCUGUCAAAGGAGGAUCUAGUGAAGCUAGUUUUUGAGAAGGAUGAAUUAUUAACCUCGAAAGAUGAAGAGAUCAAAGAUAUGAAGGACAAGGUUUUGCGCAGCUAUGCAGAAAUGGAAAAUGUCAUUGCCAGGACAAAGCGUGAAUCUGAGAACUCAAAAAAAUAUGCAGUGCAGAACUUCUCUAAGAGCUUGUUAGAUGUUGCUGACAAUUUGGCUCGAGCUUCAUCUGUUGUAAAGGAAAGCUUCUCAAAAUUAGAUACAUCCGAAGAUUCUAGUGGAGCUGUACCAUUACUAAAAACCUUACUGGAGGGUGUUGACAUGACUGAUAAGCAACUCGGAGAGGUUUUUAAGAAGUUUGGAGUCGAAAGGUUUGAUCCGUUGAAUGAGAAAUUCAAUCCUGAUAAGCAUUUUGCACUUUUCCAAAUUCCUGAUCCUUCAAAACCAUCCGGAACUGUUGCUUCUGUUGUGAAGGUUGGGUACAUGUUACAUGAUCGCGUGCUCCGUCCUGCGGAAGUUGGUGUUACAGAGGGAGGUCCGUCCGAAGAGCCUGAGGAGAAAUCAGGUGGAGAGUAG
This 906-nucleotide ribosomal RNA is filed under the name Triticum aestivum (bread wheat). Its description in RNAcentral is "partial small subunit ribosomal RNA". The record is from RNAcentral. Lineage: Eukaryota; Viridiplantae; Streptophyta; Magnoliopsida; Poales; Poaceae.